AGGACGAACGCUGGCGGCGUGCCUAACACAUGCAAGUUGAGCGACGAACCGGGGCUUGCCCCGGGGCAAAGCAGCGAACGGGUGAGUAACACGUGGAUAACGUACCCCGAUAACCGGGACAACCCGAGGAAACUCGAGCUAAAUACCGGAUGUUCUUACUACACAUCAGUGAAGUAAGUAAAGGAAGCUUCGGCCUCCGUAUUGGGAGCGGUCCGCGGCCCAUUAGCUAGUUGGUGAGGUAACGGCUCACCAAGGCAACGAUGGGUAGCUGGUCUGAGAGGACGAUCAGCCACACUGGGACUGAGACACGGCCCAGACUCCUACGGGAGGCAGCAGUGGGGAAUCUUGCGCAAUGCGCGAAAGCGUGACGCAGCAACGCCGCGUGGGGGAGAAGGUUUUCGGAUUGUAAACCCCUUUCAGGAAGGACGAAGGUUCGGCAGUGAAUAGCUGACCGGACUGACGGUACUUCCACAAGAAGGUCCGGCUAACUACGUGACCAGCAGCCGC
Molecule: ribosomal RNA, 507 nt
Filed under: uncultured bacterium
Lineage: Bacteria
Description: SSU rRNA
Rfam family: Bacterial small subunit ribosomal RNA
Source: RNAcentral